Molecule: ribosomal RNA, 468 nt
Filed under: uncultured bacterium
Lineage: Bacteria
Description: partial 16S ribosomal RNA
Rfam family: Bacterial small subunit ribosomal RNA
Source: RNAcentral
GACGAACGCUGGCGGCGGGCUUAACACAUGCAAGUCGAACGGAAAGGCCCUGCUUUUGUGGGGUGCUCGAGUGGCGAACGGGUGAGUAACACGUGAGUAACCUGCCCUUGACUGUGGGAUAACUUCAGGAAACUGGGGCUAAUACCGGAUAGGAGCUCCUGCUGCAUGGUGGGGGUUGGAAAGUUUCGGCGGUUGGGGAUGGACUCGCGGCUCAUCAGCUUGUUGGUGGGGUAGUGGCUUACCAAGGCUUUGACGGGUAGCCGGCCUGGGAGGGUGACCGGCCCCAUUGGGAUUGGGAUACGGCCCGGCCCCCUCCGCGAGGCGGCGGUGGGGAAUAUUGCACUAUGGGCGGAGGCCUGAUGCAGCAACGCCGCGUGCGGUAUGACAGCCUUCGGUUUGUAAACCGCUUUCGCCUGUGACGAAGCGUGAGUGACGGUAAUGGGUAAAGAAGCACCGGCUAACUACGUG